This 587-nucleotide ribosomal RNA is filed under the name Hanseniaspora uvarum. RNAcentral describes it as "partial large subunit ribosomal RNA". It matches the Rfam family "Eukaryotic large subunit ribosomal RNA", at positions 66 to 664 of the family's 3401-position model. Lineage: Eukaryota; Fungi; Ascomycota; Saccharomycetes; Saccharomycodales; Saccharomycodaceae. The record is from RNAcentral.
AAACUGGGAUCCUUAGUAACGGCGAGUGAAGCGGUAAAAGCUCAAAUUUGAAAUCUGGUACUUUCAGUGCCCGAGUUGUAAUUUGUAGAAUUUGUCUUUGAUUAGGUCCUUGUCUAUGUUCCUUGGAACAGGACGUCAUAGAGGGUGAGAAUCCCGUUUGGCGAGGAUACCUUUUCUCUGUAAGACUUUUUCGAAGAGUCGAGUUGUUUGGGAAUGCAGCUCAAAGUGGGUGGUAAAUUCCAUCUAAAGCUAAAUAUUGGCGAGAGACCGAUAGCGAACAAGUACAGUGAUGGAAAGAUGAAAAGAACUUUGAAAAGAGAGUGAAAAAGUACGUGAAAUUGUUGAAAGGGAAGGGCAUUUGAUCAGACAUGGUGUUUUUUGCAUGCACUCGCCUCUCGUGGGCUUGGGCCUCUCAAAAAUUUCACUGGGCCAACAUCAAUUCUGGCAGCAGGAUAAAUCAUUAAGAAUGUAGCUACUUCGGUAGUGUUAUAGCUUUUUGGAAUACUGUUAGCCGGGAUUGAGGACUGCGCUUCGGCAAGGAUGUUGGCAUAAUGGUUAAAUGCCGCCCGUCUUGAAACACGGGACCA